Melanaphis sacchari is the source of this 2088-nucleotide RNA transcript. It is a transcript of the gene named hrp65 protein-like, with no coding region annotated. NCBI's taxonomy places the organism in Eukaryota, Metazoa, Arthropoda, Insecta, Hemiptera, Aphididae. The transcript has 12 exons. The record is from RefSeq and is a predicted model, not a curated record.
CAUAUGCACCACUCCGUCUAUGUAUCUAUGUUUUAGUGUUGAACUAUAGUCGGCCAUUUUAUUUGACAAUCGACCCUCUACCUGUCCGUACGUCAUAUUCUUGUGUUUUCUAACUCUCGUCUUUCAUCUCUUCUCUUCAUUUCGCAUUACCCGUUUGAUUUGUCGCUUCAGCUGUUUUAGAGGAAUAACUGUCAGUCUUUCACUGAAUCAUCCCUGCCGAGUCAUUCGAUUGUUAUAAUUUGACUCAAUAUUGUAUAGCUAACGCAAUGGCGCAAGUCAAAGAGGAGAAGAUCAGUGACACGUCGUUAAACGGGCCAAACGCACACCAUGGUCCAAAUGCCAACCAUAAGCCGAAAGAAGAAUUCCACGGCGGUGGCCGUGGUGGAAGAGGCAAUCGCUUUCAACCGUACGGUGGACCGAAUAGAGACCGCAAAGGUGGUCCCCCAAGAGACAACAAUAUGCCUAGAGGAGAUUUCCGCAAUGAUAAUCAUGGUGAUAACCAUCCAGGAGAUAAUGAUAUAAUGAAUAGAGGCAAUCGUAAUCAUUCAGAAAGUGGAAGAGGUGGAAGGCGUGGUGGAGGUGUUGGAGGUGUUUUCAGAGGCGGUCCACCUAUUCGAGGAGAUGAUCGUUUAACUAGAGCUGAUGCUCUAUGGAAUGAACGUUUAAUGCAAAUUAUGGGCCCAACUCAUGAGAUUCCACAAACUGAUACCUCUGAUAGAAAGUUCCUUAGUCAGUGUCGUCUUUAUAUUGGAAACUUAGUUGAUUGUACUGAAGAAGAAUUAAUAGAAAUGUUUAAACCUUAUGGAGAAGUUUCUGAAAAUUUUUUGAACAAGGAAAAAAUGUUUGCUUUUAUCAGAUUGGAUUAUCGUACUAAUGCUGAAAAAGCCAAAAGAGAAUUAGAUGGUAAAAUGCGUAAAGGACGUAUGUUAAAAAUAAGGUUUGCUCCCAUUGCUGCUGCUAUCAAAGUAAAAAACCUUACUCCAUUUGUUUCCAAUGAACUUCUAGAAUAUGCUUUUUCAAUAUUUGGUGAUAUUGAACGUUGCCAAGUGAUGGUAGAUGAGAGAGGUAAUUCAACUGGUGAAGGUGUUAUUGAAUUCUCACGUAAAAAUGCUGCAAGCAAUGCUUUGAAACGUUGUUCAGAAGGUUGUUUUUUUUUGACCAGUUCUCUUCGUCCUUGUGUAGUUGAAACUUAUGAGUUUGUAGAUAGUUCAGAUGGCCUCCCAGAUAAGUUAUUGCCCAAAAAAACUAUGGAUUUCCAGAAACAAAGAGAUGUUGGUCCAAGAUUUGCUAAUCCAAAUUCUUUUGAACAUGAAUUUGGUACUCGUUGGAAACAAUUAGCUGAAUUGUAUAAACAAAAAGAAGAAGCUCUUAAACGUGAGAUGAAAUUAGAAGAAGAAAAAUUGGAGGCUCAAAUGGAAUAUGCUCGUUAUGAACAUGAGACUGAAAUGCUCAGAGAACAAUUGCGACAACGAGAAAUGGAUAGAGAACGACAAAAAAUGGAAUGGGAAAUGAAAGAACGUCAAGCAGAGGAUCAGAGACUUAGGGAAGAAGAUAUUUUCAGAAGACAGAGCGAAGAUUUAAGCAUGAGAAUGCAUCAUCAAGAUGAAGAGAUGAGGAGGCGUCAACAAGACAAUUCAUCAUUCAUGCAGGACCAUAGAGGACCGGGUAAACCUCCAUUUGAUGGACCCCCUAUUCCUGUAGAAGUUCAAGGAGGAAUGGGUGGGGAAAGCCAAGUGGCAAAUCAGGCUCAUCUAUGUGUAGCUUUCGGUUAACUGUGUCGUUUCCCCGAAGAAAUCAAUCGGAGUAAUGAACUAUUGUUGAUGUGGAAUCAUGGAAUAAGUCUGUGCCACCCAUGUACGUGUAUUAUGUAUCACAGAGUGGUCAUACGCGCAUAGUUCUACAUUGCGUUACUGUAACGGAGCUACCUAAAUUGAUGGGGUGGCGCGUACGUCAUACAUUGUUUGGGCUCAAACCAACAAUGGACCAUUUGCAGAGGAUGCUGAUUAGCGAGAAAAAGACGUAAAAAAUGUUUUAUGACAACUUAUAUCAAUUGAAGACUUUCAAUAAAGUAAACAUUUCUUAACAUAA